AUGGGGAGAGCAAGUUUUUGUUUUUCAGAGUCUAGAAGAAGCUCUUCUUCUCUCUCUCUUCUUAUGUAAUCUUGUUAUGGCAUGUAACAGUGCUAAAGAGAUCUGAGAUGAAUUUUAGAGGAGAUAUGGAGCACCCAUGUAAAAUAAAGUGAUCACUCCUUGUGACUCAAGCUCUACGGAUCUUGAGGGUGGUAACCCGUGCUUUGCUGCGUUGACUAGUGAUGAGGAGCCCCUGAUAGGAGAGUGGGAAAAGCCCCGCUGAUCUAUUGUCGUUUAUCUGCCCUCUUUGAAGGAUAAGCUUUAGUAGGGACAGUUGGAUUUUUGUGGGAAAUGUCCCUAGAUUUUGUUUUUGCAAUGUAUAUAUUGAAAUACAGUGGAUAUAGUGACUCUAGUAUUUAUGGUAAUGUGAUGGAUGUUUUCGUCUUUAUAAUAUUGUGAUUGUAUGUUUCCUGCUGCUUAAA
Long non-coding RNA from Malania oleifera, 461 nucleotides. RefSeq lists it as uncharacterized. Lineage: Eukaryota; Viridiplantae; Streptophyta; Magnoliopsida; Santalales; Ximeniaceae. The transcript has 3 exons. The record is from RefSeq and is a predicted model, not a curated record.